GUUUUUAUAGUUUACUAAAGAAUACUAGAUUGUGAUUCUAGAGGAGUUAUAUUGCUAAAAACA
Molecule: transfer RNA, 63 nt
Filed under: Branchinecta paludosa
Lineage: Eukaryota; Metazoa; Arthropoda; Branchiopoda; Anostraca; Branchinectidae
Description: tRNA-His
Source: RNAcentral